Molecule: long non-coding RNA, 332 nt
Organism: Dipodomys ordii (Ord's kangaroo rat)
Lineage: Eukaryota; Metazoa; Chordata; Mammalia; Rodentia; Heteromyidae
Exons: 3
Source: RefSeq, a predicted model, not a curated record
GGGAGCUGUUCGGUGCCUUUCACCACGUGGUGCUGGGUGAUGACCCCGAGGUCAAGGCCAGCAAGCCCGCCCCGGACAUCUUCCUGGCCUGCGCCCGCAGGUUCUCUCCUCAUUCCCCCACCCCCAUAUCAACCAGUGCCUGGUGCUGGAGGACACGCCCCACGGCAUGGCGGUCGCCCGGGCAGCGGGGAUGCAGGUGGUCAUGGUGCCCAGCGUCCAGCUCGACCCCGAACUCAACGGCCGGGGCCACCCUGCUGCUGCCCUCCUUGGGUGACAUACAACCCGAGCUCUUCGGCCUGCCCGCCUUCAACUGACCUGCGGACAGACAGACA